UAAUGGGUCAGCGACUUAUAUUCUGUAGCAAGGUUAACCGAAUAGGGGAGCCGAAGGGAAACCGAGUCUUAACUGGGCGUUAAGUUGCAGGGUAUAGACCCGAAACCCGGUGAUCUAGCCAUGGGCAGGUUGAAGGUUGGGUAACACUAACUGGAGGACCGAACCGACUAAUGUUGAAAAAUUAGCGGAUGACUUGUGGCUGGGGGUGAAAGGCCAAUCAAACCGGGAGAUAGCUGGUUCUCCCCGAAAGCUAUUUAGGUAGCGCCUCGUGAAUUCAUCUCCGGGGGUAGAGCACUGUUUCGGCAAGGGGGUCAUCCCGACUUACCAACCCGAUGCAAACUGCGAAUACCGGAGAAUGUUAUCACGGGAGACACACGGCGGGUGCUAACGUCCGUCGUGAAGAGGGAAACAACCCAGACCGCCAGCUAAGGUCCCAAAGUCAUGGUUAAGUGGGAAACGAUGUGGGAAGGCCCAGACAGCCAGGAUGUUGGCUUAGAAGCAGCCAUCAUUUAAAGAAAGCGUAAUAGCUCACUGGUCGAGUCGGCCUGCGCGGAAGAUGUAACGGGGCUAAACCAUGCACCGAAGCUGCGGCAGCGACACUAUGUGUUGUUGGGUAGGGGAGCGUUCUGUAAGCCUGUGAAGGUGGCCUGUGAGGGUUGCUGGAGGUAUCAGAAGUGCGAAUGCUGACAUAAGUAACGAUAAAGCGGGUGAAAAGCCCGCUCGCCGGAAGACCAAGGGUUCCUGUCCAACGUUAAUCGGGGCAGGGUGAGUCGACCCCUAAGGCGAGGCCGAAAGGCGUAGUCGAUGGGAAACAGGUUAAUAUUCCUGUACUUGGUGUUACUGCGAAGGGGGGACGGAGAAGGCUAUGUUGGCCGGGCGACGGUUGUCCCGGUUUAAGCGUGUAGGCUGGUUUUCCAGGCAAAUCCGGAAAACCAAGGCUGAGGCGUGAUGACGAGGCACUACGGUGCUGAAGCGACAAAUGCCCUGCUUCCAGGAAAAGCCUCUAAGCAUCAGGUAACAUCAAAUCGUACCCCAAACCGACACAGGUGGUCAGGUAGAGAAUACCAAGGCGCUUGAGAGAACUCGGGUGAAGGAACUAGGCAAAAUGGUGCCGUAACUUCGGGAG
This 1126-nucleotide ribosomal RNA is filed under the name Escherichia coli. Its description in RNAcentral is "partial 23S ribosomal RNA". It matches the Rfam family "Bacterial large subunit ribosomal RNA", at positions 613 to 1742 of the family's 2925-position model. The record is from RNAcentral. Lineage: Bacteria; Pseudomonadati; Pseudomonadota; Gammaproteobacteria; Enterobacterales; Enterobacteriaceae.